This 397-nucleotide ribosomal RNA is filed under the name uncultured bacterium. RNAcentral's name for it is "partial 16S ribosomal RNA". It matches the Rfam family "Bacterial small subunit ribosomal RNA", at positions 523 to 918 of the family's 1533-position model. The record is from RNAcentral.
AUACGUAGGUGGCAAGCGUUGUCCGGAAUUAUUGGGCGUAAAGCGCGCGCAGGCGGUCCUUUAAGUCUGAUGUGAAAGCCCACGGCUCAACCGUGGAGGGUCAUUGGAAACUGGGGGACUUGAGUGCAGAAGAGGAAAGUGGAAUUCCAAGUGUAGCGGUGAAAUGCGUAGAGAUUUGGAGGAACACCAGUGGCGAAGGCGACUUUCUGGUCUGUAACUGACGCCGAGGCGCGAAAGCGUGGGGAGCAAACAGGAUUAGAUACCCUGGUAGUCCACGCCGUAAACGAUGAGUGCUAAGUGUUAGGGGGUUUCCGCCCCUUAGUGCUGCAGCUAACGCAUUAAGCACUCCGCCUGGGGAGUACGGUCGCAAGACUGAAACUCAAGUGAAUUGACGGGG